RNAcentral lists this unclassified non-coding RNA (345 nucleotides) under soil metagenome. Its description in RNAcentral is "partial contains 5.8S ribosomal RNA, internal transcribed spacer 2, and large subunit ribosomal RNA". The stretch from base 1 to 120 matches the Rfam family "5.8S ribosomal RNA", at positions 35 to 154 of the family's 154-position model. The record is from RNAcentral.
GAUGAAGAACGCAGUGAAAUGCGAUAAGUAAUGUGAAUUGCAGAAUUCAGUGAAUCAUCGAAUCUUUGAACGCAUCUUGCGCCCCCUGGUAUUCCGGGGGGCAUGCCUGUCCGAGCGUCAUUGCUGCCCUCAAGCACGGCUUGUGUGUUGGGCCUCCGUCCUCCUCCCGGGGGACGGGCCCGAAAGGCAGCGGCGGCACCGCGUCCGGUCCUCGAGCGUAUGGGGCUUCGUCACCCGCUCUUGUAGGCCCGGCCGGCGCUUGCCGACACAUCAAUCUUUUUUCCAGGUUGACCUCGGAUCAGGUAGGGAUACCCGCUGAACUUAAGCAUAUCAAUAAGCGGAGGA